CCCUUAGAUGUUCUGGGCCGCACGCGCGCUACACUGAUGCAUUCAACGAGCCUAUCCUUGACCGACAGGUCCGGGUAAUCUUUGAAUCUGCAUCGUGACGGGGAUAGAUUAUUGCAAUUAUUAAUCUUCAACGAGGAAUGCCUAGUAGGCGCAAGUCAUCAGCUUGCGUCGAUUACGUCCCUGCCCUUUGUACACACCGCCCGUCGCUCCUACCGAUUGGGUGUGCUGGUGAAAUGUUCGGAUCGGCCGUUUGUCGCGGUUUCCGCGUCAUGUGGCUGAGAAGUUCAUUAAACCCUCCCACCUAGAGGAAGGAGAAGUCGUAACG
RNAcentral lists this ribosomal RNA (325 nucleotides) under uncultured eukaryote. RNAcentral's name for it is "partial 18S ribosomal RNA". It matches the Rfam family "Eukaryotic small subunit ribosomal RNA", at positions 1470 to 1796 of the family's 1831-position model. The record is from RNAcentral.